Molecule: long non-coding RNA, 328 nt
Organism: Oxyura jamaicensis (ruddy duck)
Lineage: Eukaryota; Metazoa; Chordata; Aves; Anseriformes; Anatidae
Exons: 3
Source: RefSeq, a predicted model, not a curated record
CAGGACGUAUUCUGCCAGACAGGUAUUGCUGUCUGCAAAGGAGAAUAGCCCCUAAGGAGAUCUGGCUGCACCAAGAGACAUGACAGCACAUGGCAGCACCCGAAGCAUGUGAACCGCACGCCUCUGAGCCCUGGCACCACCAUAACAUGGACAUAGAGGUACACGUGGAAGAAGUUCCUCUUCUACUGUCUGCAAAAUGGCAGGAUACGGGCUGGCUGCUCUACCCAGGUUCAGCUGCCAGUGAGGAAACCUCGGCCGUGACCAUGCUUGCUGGGGACAGAGCAGAGAUUUCCCUCUCCGUAUCACCUCCCCGGCAGCAGAGCAGGGA